UUGAAAUUACCGGUGAGGGUUGUAGCUGGCCUUUCGGGGCAUGUGCACGCUCGAGCCUUUAAUCCAACACACACCUGUGAACCCAAUGUAGGGGCCUUUUUUACGGGCCCUUACGUCUUUAUCACCAACUCUGUAUUCAUAGAAUGUAAUCCAUAUCUUCGCCUUAACAAGCGUCGAUAAACUUAUA
Molecule: unclassified non-coding RNA, 187 nt
Filed under: uncultured Basidiomycota
Lineage: Eukaryota; Fungi; Basidiomycota
Description: sequence contains ITS1
Source: RNAcentral